UGAGUAAGACAAAGUUUACACCUCAUGCUGUAAUAUAUAAAGUCACAUAUUUUCACUUCCCAACAUAGUAGAACAAGUACAAUGACUUCUGGGAAUACUGUGUUAUUGGAGGGCUUUCAUCCCUCAUCUAGCUUAGUUAUGAAACUUCUAUGCAAUUUGAAUAGGAUGAAUAAUUAUGGGACUAGCUUGAGCAAUGUAUUGCAGCAUUUAAUCAGGGCAAAUAACAGUAAAAAAGGCACAAAGCCUUGGGAUACUAAACACAUUAAAACCUGCUGAGCUUACCAUCUAUGUCACUCCAGACAAGUAUGGAUGGAAUUUAUAGCAGCAAAUUAAAAUACAUCACACCCCCCUUUGAUUUUAGUCACAGAGAAGGGAACAGAGGAGCUUUAUAUUUUGUUGGAAAAAUGACUAUGUGCUACUUAGGCUGCCCUUCUUUCUGCAGAGCUCAUCACAAGAGAACCACCAGUCAUGGGCAUGUAGCCAGCAAAAAUAAGGUAACUGGAGAGAGGCCCAGUAGAGGAAAUUGCCACUUGACUACAUCGUGGAUUAAAUCAUGCAGGACAAAAACCUAUGUGGGCAACUGUGACCUGAUGAAGACUACCCAUAAAGAUGUCAAAUAUUGCUGCAAGCCAGAAACAUCUUACCUGCUCUCAAUGCUACCCAAGGACCACUGGAUGUCACAUAGGGACAUAUGAAAGGAGGCUAUAUCUCUCUUCAGUGAUGGAAGAUUGACUGUAUUGACCCUCACCCAUUAUCAAAAGUGGCUGAGUAUGCUUUGACUUGGGUGAAUACAAUUAUGAGCUUAAUGCAAGACUUCUUUGGCAGACAGUCAAUCAAAGGGUCCUUAUUAAAGGGCUGAUCUGACUGAGUGCUCUGUAUGGCACACCACAGGUAAUUGAGAGUAAACAAGGAAUUCAUUUCACAGGCCAUGAAAUACACCAUGCGCUCAAGAUCAGAACAUAUUAUAGAUUAUCCACCUGCCAUACAAUCCAACAGGAACUGGAUUAAUUGAAAGAAUAAAUGACCUGUUGAAGUAAGCCUUAAAUAAUGAGAAUAACUCUAUGCUGGCCCGAGACACUUAGAACAUCCAGUGAGAAACCCAGACAUCAGCAGCCUGCAGCUUGCAGACAUUUCUAUGGCAGCAGGCCCAUUACCACCAGCAUUAAGAUUACAAAUAAAGGACACAGCUACUGGACAAUUCUUAAGCCAGCCUGGGGCACCCAGGUAACAACUUCCUCUUGCCAGUUUUUCAAGAUAUCACAUCCAGUACUGGAAGCAUUAUUUGGUCAAGGACUGUACAAGUAAACAAAUUCCCAGUAUUUUGAUGUACUGACUCCUAAAUAUGAGGGAGAACAUCUAAAUUUAUAAGUAAAGCCUAGUGUGUUGGGAAUUUGGCCCUCAAAAUUUCAGGUGUUAUCCUCUGGUAUCAUCACCCAAGGGCCACUUCCUGUCAAUUUAUGACAGUAUAUAUUCCAGAAGUGUCUUCCUCUUUCUAUACACUUAAGUGAAUAUUGGUCUGUUAUACCAGUCCAGGCAAGGCUACUAUAGAAGCUACUUUACUAACACUAGAUUAUACAGUAACUUGUACUGACUCUGGGAGCUGAUUUGGCAUUAUAGGUCCCUGUCAAAACAUUUUCCAUAUUUUCCAUAGGUUAGCAAUAUGUAGCCUUUUUCAGGACUGGGGAAUGAUGGUUGCAUAUCAUGCUAACCAGACUGACCACUGGAUUUGCUCAGAACUCCCUAUGACUGCAGCACAAGGAUUUGCUGGGCCCAACCUGCAAAUGAGACAGAAUGAACUUGCUAACAUAAUUACCUUAGCAUGCCUGUUGAUAGGCUCUUGCUCUUUGUGGUGCUGUUGUGAGAUAUGUACGUAAUUUGCCUCUGCAACAUUGUCAUUAGCGUUUCACAGAAGGUUUGAAGUUAUUUAAGAUUGUUAGGGACAUCAAGGAGCUUCCAAGCCACUGAAUGGAUAGAGUGCUGGGAUAAAACAUGAAUUGGCACCUAAGAAGCUUGUCAUUUCAGAUGCCAAAUAGUGAGAGUAAAAGGACUCCAAAAAAUGUGAUAAUAAAGAAAAUGGAGAAGGGGAACUGGUCACUUACCUUAUCUCCAGUCUUUAGAUGGGUAUCAAAGCAGAGAAACCCUAGUUAUAAAGUGAAAAUAAAAAGAAGAAAAAGAAAAAAAAAACAUCCAUAAAACAUAUGAAAUGUGAAGAAAUCCAUCUUCACAGUGAGCAUGCUACUACCCUGUAUAUUCCCCUAAUUUGUGGGUCAGGGUGGCCCUCCAUUUUGUCCCUGCAUGUGAGUAAUAAAAUUUCUAAACCCUGUCCGUUGUGUCCUGCAAGAUUUCGUU
This 2349-nucleotide long non-coding RNA is filed under the name Marmota monax (woodchuck). The record is from RNAcentral. Lineage: Eukaryota; Metazoa; Chordata; Mammalia; Rodentia; Sciuridae.